This 448-nucleotide ribosomal RNA is filed under the name uncultured bacterium. Its description in RNAcentral is "bacterial SSU rRNA". It matches the Rfam family "Bacterial small subunit ribosomal RNA", at positions 355 to 825 of the family's 1533-position model. The record is from RNAcentral.
CAGGGAAUCUUGCACAAUGGGCGAAAGCCUGAUGCAGCGACGCCGCGUGGGGGAUGAAGGCCUUAGGGUCGUAAACCCCUUUCAGCAGGGACGAAAAUGACGGUACCUGCAGAAGAAGCCCCGGCCAACUACGUGCCAGCAGCCGCGGUAAGACGUAGGGGGCGAGCGUUGUCCGGAUUUAUUGGGCGUAAAGAGCUCGUAGGCGGUUGCGUAAGUCGGAUGUGAAAACUCAGGGCUCAACCCUGAGACGCCAUCCGAUACUGCGCUGACUUGAAUCCAGUAGGGGAGUGUGGAAUUCCUGGUGUAGCGGUGAAAUGCGCAGAUAUCAGGAGGAACACCCAUGGCGAAGGCAGCACUCUGGGCUGGUAUUGACGCUGAGGCACGAAAGCGUGGGUAGCAAACAGGAUUAGAUACCCCCGUAGUCCCUGAGCGGGCUGGCAAGGCGCAU